This is an RNA transcript of Hordeum vulgare subsp. vulgare (domesticated barley), 3018 nucleotides long. It is a transcript of the gene named scarecrow-like protein 9, with no coding region annotated. NCBI's taxonomy places the organism in Eukaryota, Viridiplantae, Streptophyta, Magnoliopsida, Poales, Poaceae. The transcript is spliced from 2 exons. The record is from RefSeq and is a predicted model, not a curated record.
UCGACACUUCCGCCGCCGAUUCACAGGGCUGGCUGAGACUCGCGCGCCUCUCAAAAGAACACCCAUUUUCCUUUUCCCCCAUUUAUCACCCCUCCUCCUCGCGCUCCCAGAGCUCCGCUCGCCGCCACCUCUCCUCCUCCCUCGGCUCGCGACGCAGGUACCCGACACCUCUACCCAUCGCCGGCGUCGGCCCACGACACCUCUGCCCAUCGUCAGUGCCGAGUCGACAAAGCCGCCGCGUAGAUUCCGCGCUCAUCUCCUUCUAUUUCUGCGCAUCUGCCAGGUGGGAGAUUGGAGUGUCUGCCCGCCCGCCUUAACCGCCACACCCUUGCAUGCCCUGCGGCGGCGGCGGCGGUGUAGGUGCAGCGCCGAGCCCGCGUAGAUGGUCAUGGACGCCGCGCUCUACGACUGGUGCGGGCCGCUGCCCGCCGGAUCCAAGCUGCCAAUCCACCCCCAGAUCACCGCGGAGGACCUCGAGUCGCUGCUUCUCCUGCCGUCCGACGGCGCCGACGCGGCCGCCUACCUGAAUGCCGCGCCGGCUCCCCUGCUGCCUGCCUCGGCCGACACCGCGUCGCCGCCGCCGCCACCCGGAGACGCCUCGGCCCCCUCACCAGCCGCGCCGGACGACUCGGAGGUGUUCUCCGACAUCGUGCUGGGCUACAUCAACCGCAUGCUCAUGGCCGAGGACAUCGACGAGAAGUUCGACCACUACCCAGCCCACCCGGCGCUGCUCGCCGCCGAGAAGCCCUUCCUCGAGAUCCUCGCCGACCAGCCGCCCUGCUCGGGCGGGAGCACGGUCGAGAGCCCGGACGGCAGCAGCGUCACCACCAACUCCUUCAACAGCCUCGCUUCCUGCAACUGCGCCGCGCCUUCCGGUGGCCUCUGUGCCAUGCAGGCGCCGCCCGCUCUCGAGUUCCCCACGCCGGAGUUCCCGCACCCGCCGCACUUCUAUCAGGAUCUGAGCCCUGAGAGCUGCGUGGUGGAAGCAGGCGGCGCGUGGCCGCCGUGCGACCCCAUGGAAUUCAACCCUCUUCCUGACGCGCUGCUCUCACAAUCCUCGUCCUUCGCGUCUUCAAAUGGCAGCAGUGUUGCAUUUCCAGAGGGCUUCGAGCCGUGGCUCAGCACGGCGGAUGCUGUGCCUCAUGCUGCCUUGAGCGAUUUUGUUCUGCAGAGCCAACAAGCGGCGCAGUUCAGCCGAGGAUUUGAAGAGGCGAGCAGAUUUCUGCCUCAAGAGAGCAAGCUUGUGAUUGACCUUGACAGUUUACCGUCAGUUUGGGUGAAACAAGAUAACAAGGUUGUGGAGGUCAAGAGAGAGAAGGCUGAUGCUCAAGUGGCAAUUCAUCGAGGAAAGAAGCAUUUCUAUGGUGACGACUUGGAUGCAGAUGAAGUGAGAUGCUGCAAGCAUUCAGCGCCUGUCGUCGACGCAGAUCACCUUGUGCGGGAGAUGAUGGACAAGGUCUUGCUAUGUGACGGGGAGACAUGCUCUAGAGGUGUCAAGGAGCUGCGUGAGGCCCUGCAGCACGAUGUUGCAAAUCAUUCAGGUGCUGCCCAUGGCAAAGGGUCUGGCCAUGGCAAGGGCCGUGGCAAGAAACAAGUCAAACAACCCAAGAAGGAGGUGGUCGACUUGGAGACUCUCCUCAUUCAUUGUGCUCAGUCCGUGUCCAUUGAUGACCGGCGGAGUGCAACCGAUCUCCUGAGGCAGAUCAGGCAGCAUGCAUCUGCCACCGGCGAUGGUGACCAGCGUUUGGCACACUGCUUUGCCAAUGGCCUUGAGGCGAGGCUUGCUGGUAAUGGAAGUCGGAUUUACAAGUUACAUACCAUAUCACGGUUUGCAUGCACUGAUGUGCUGAAAGCCUACCAACUGUACUUAGCGGCUUGCCCAUUCAAGAAGAUCUCUCAUUACUUUGCCAACCAAACCAUUAUGAAUGCUGUGGAGAAAGCCAAGAAAGUUCACAUUGUUGACUUCGGCGUAUACUAUGGCUUUCAGUGGCCAUGUCUCAUUCAACGGCUAGGUAAAAGGCCUGGAGGCCCCCCAGAACUUCGGAUCACAGCAAUAGACACACCUCAGCCUGGUUUUCGCCCAGCAGAGCGCAUCGAUGAGAUUGGAAGAUAUCUAAGUGAUUAUGCUCAGACCUUCAAAGUUCCUUUCAAAUACCAUGGCAUCGCAUCUCAAUUUGAGGCUGUUCGGGUUGAGGAUCUCCACAUUGAGAAGGACGAGAUUCUGAUUGUCAACAGCAUGUUCAGGUUCAAGACUUUGAUGGAUGAGAGCGUGGUAGCUGAGAGUCCAAGGAACAUGGUAUUGAACACAAUAAGGAAGAUGAACCCACAUGUGUUCAUUCAUGGGGUCACCAAUGGAUCCUAUAAUGCACCAUUCUUCGUCUCGCGCUUCCGGGAGGCAUUGUUCCACUUCUCUGCUGCCUUCGACAUGCUGGAGGCCAACAUUCCCAGGGAUAACGAGGAGAGGCUGCUCAUUGAGUCGGCUCUGUUUAGCCGGGAGGCGAUUAAUGUGAUAUCUUGUGAGGGAAUGGAGAGGAUGGAGAGGCCAGAGACCUACAAGCAGUGGCAGGUGCGGAAUCAGAGAGCUGGGUUCAAGCAGCUCCCGCUGGACCAGGAGAUCAUGAAGCGUGCGCGGGAGAAAGUGAAGUGCUACCACAAGAAUUUCAUCAUCGACGAGGACAACAAGUGGUUACUACAAGGAUGGAAGGGGCGUAUCCUGUAUGCCCUCUCAACAUGGAAGGCGAAUCCCCAAUCUUCCUAGCUUCUGUAAAUGGUGACCUGUUCAUAUUUUUGGACUCUAGAGCUGAUUGUUCCUGGCCAACAACCCGUUAGUAGAUGAUGAACCUGAUUACUCUUCUGUAGCACCUGCCCGUUGUAUGUGCCCAUACACGGUUAGUUUUCACAGGAAUAGUUAGUGCAUUUUUGGUGGAGCAGGCUUAGUUAUGUUAGAUAUAGGUGCUUCUUGCAUGGUCAGUCUUGUAUUAUAUUCUUCCUUCCAGAAUCCAGAGUACCAUUCAGUAA